This 273-nucleotide ribosomal RNA is filed under the name uncultured bacterium. RNAcentral describes it as "partial 16S ribosomal RNA". It matches the Rfam family "Bacterial small subunit ribosomal RNA", at positions 524 to 796 of the family's 1533-position model. The record is from RNAcentral.
UACGGAGGGUGCAAGCGUUAUUCGGAUUUACUGGGCGUAAAGGGCGCGCAGGCGGCUUUGCAAGUCAGUUGUGAAAGCCCGGGGCUUAACCCCGGAAGUGCGACUGAAACUGCGGGGCUUGAGUAUGGUAGAGGGAAGUGGAAUUCCUGGUGUAGCGGUGAAAUGCGUAGAUAUCAGGAGGAACACCGGUGGCGAAGGCGGCUUCCUGGACCAAUACUGACGCUGAGGCGCGAAGGUGUGGGGAGCAAACAGGAUUAGAUACCCCCGUAGUCC